RNAcentral lists this transfer RNA (75 nucleotides) under Oceanicaulis sp. RNAcentral describes it as "tRNA-Thr". It matches the Rfam family "tRNA". From Rfam's summary of the family: Transfer RNA (tRNA) molecules are approximately 80 nucleotides in length. Their secondary structure includes four short double-helical elements and three loops (D, anti-codon, and T loops). Further hydrogen bonds mediate the characteristic L-shaped molecular structure. tRNAs have two regions of fundamental functional importance: the anti-codon, which is responsible for specific mRNA codon recognition, and the 3' end, to which the tRNAs corresponding amino acid is attached (by aminoacyl-tRNA synthetases). tRNAs cope with the degeneracy of the genetic code in two manners: having more than one tRNA (with a specific anti-codon) for a particular amino acid; and 'wobble' base-pairing, i.e. permitting non-standard base-pairing at the 3rd anti-codon position. The record is from RNAcentral. Lineage: Bacteria; Pseudomonadati; Pseudomonadota; Alphaproteobacteria; Maricaulales; Maricaulaceae.
GCCGGCUUAGCUCAGCUGGUAGAGCAGCGGUUUUGUAAACCGAAGGUCGGGGUUCGAUUCCCUCAGCCGGCGCCA